RNAcentral lists this long non-coding RNA (1103 nucleotides) under Linum usitatissimum (flax). Its description in RNAcentral is "long non-coding RNA (LUSI_LNC007460)". The record is from RNAcentral. Lineage: Eukaryota; Viridiplantae; Streptophyta; Magnoliopsida; Malpighiales; Linaceae.
AGUUAUAUUGGUAACUAGUCUCUAAAAGAUAGAUGGGUUUGCACUAAUGACCUAGAUAUGCACGAUUAAACAUUAACAAUUUAGACAAUGUGAAGAAGUAGUAUAUAAUAUAGGCAUUUAAAAUUUCAACAACAACAUUGAUUGAAUGGGGAAGAAGAAGAGGUACAUGUGAGCAACGUAGGAGCAAUAGGGUGGGAAUUGGGAGAUUCCUAAUGUCCAAUAAUAAUACAAAAAUUACUUGGGAAGUGGGUGGGAGAUAUUUAUUUUUAUAAUAAGAGGGCCGGGUCUGGAAACAGCAAGAAAUGUCUGCAUGGUGAAAGAUACUCUCUGCCACACCCCAUCAGAACGAAAGAUUAUGUUGGUGUUGGUGUUGGUGUUUGUAUGUUUGGUUUGGUUUUGGGUUCAGCUUCAGCAGCCGGCAAAUUUACUAGCUCACCCUGCAGUCAGCCAGCCUAGCUAUAGCUAAGCUAGCUAAAAAGGAAUCAAAACAAACCACCAAAAAACAAAGUCUCCCAUUAACAAACAACAGGAACUGGAUGCUGCUGCUGCUGUUCCACACCCCCAAUGGCUCUGCUUCUGCUAACUGCUACUGCUCAUGAAAAACAAAUAAUAAUAAUAAUAAUAGACACCUAAAAGUCAAAGAGUAAGACUUAUUAAGAGAAUUUAUGCGUUCAAAGCACAAAGAACAAGGAAGGAAUAGCAGUACGUAAUAGUAAUUAAUUAAGAGAGAGUUGGCAGAAUGGCAGGUAGUAGUAGACUAGUAGUAAAAUGAAAUCACAUGGAAGCCAUAAUAUUAAUUGGGCCUCCCCACUCACCCAAUCCCAUGAAGACUGAAGAGCUUUAAGCAGCUGCAGACUCUCUCUCUGGCUCUGCUAUCUUUUUGCAGUGUUGCUCUCUGUGUGCCAAAGUUUUUUGAGCUUAAAUUGGCAAAUGUGUUGACAAAUACUCACCUCAUAGGUGGGUGGGUGGGUGGGUGGGUGAGUUGUUUGGUUUCGUGUAAGUCUUUCAACAACAUUUAUUAUUAAAUUUAUGAAUGAAUGAAUGAAUGUAUAGCUAGAGCAUUUCAAUUUCUCCUCACAUAUUCCCAGGUAGUGGUAGCUUUG